AGAACAAUGCCUUUUCUCAUGUUUAUUUUCUAAGCCAGGAAAUUUCAAGUUUCAGGUCAAAUAGCAGAGUUGGGAAAAGAGCUAAAUUGGAGAAUGUUUGCAGUUCAGCUAUAUUGGACUAAAAUUCCCAGCAAUUCACAGUUUGGUCAGUAUUGCUAUAUUGUUUGUUUACCCUAUUGAUAUCUGAAACAUUAUCUUUGAAAUGAAAAUUAUUAUAAUAAAAGAAUCGAUACACUAAACAUCAAAUUGGAAUAUUUUAAAACUGAAUUGCUAGCAGUGAUUAUAGCUUUGGUAAAAAGGACACUAUAGUCACCACAACAACUACAGCUUAUUGUAUUUGUUUUUGUAAGUAGAAUCAUUCCUUUCAGGCUUUUUGUAGCAAACACUUAUUUUUCAAAGAAAAUGCAGUGUUUACAUUACAGCAUGGGGAUACCUCGACAGAUAAUUACUAGAGGUGCUUCAUGGGGGCAGUGCUGCAUACUGUGCAGCACUGCCAGUCAGUGUCUUCGCCCUCUCCAUGCAGACACUGAACUUUCCUCAUAGAGAUUCAUUGAUUCAAUUCAUCUCUUUGAGGAGAUGCGGAUUGGCCAGGGCUGUGUUUGGCUAGUGCUGCCCUCUCCUGAUCUGCCUCUGACAGUCUCAGCCAAUCCAGUGCUUUUCUAUGGGAAAACAAGCAUUGUGAUUGGCUCAGAUCACCACUUCUGAUAAUGUCAACCAAGCAGGCAGAAAAGGGGCAGAGUCAGCACCAGCAGACUGGAGCAAAAAUAAGAUGUUACUAUAUUUAGGGGGGCAAGGGAGGGGAGGGUGCAGGGAGGCUAGAUAGUGAUUUUAACACUAUAGGGUCAGGAAUACAUGUUUGUGUUCCUGACCAUAUAGUGUUCCUUUAAUAUUUUAUUCAAAUUUUGCUGUUACAGCAUCAAUUUUGCUUUUCAG
Molecule: non-coding RNA, 933 nt
Organism: Pelobates cultripes (western spadefoot toad)
Lineage: Eukaryota; Metazoa; Chordata; Amphibia; Anura; Pelobatidae
Source: the annotation of a GenBank genome assembly